CUUAAGCAAUUAAGAUAGUGGCAAACGGGUGAGUAAUACAUGAGUUACCUGCCCUCAAGUAAGGAAUAAUUCGCCGAAAGGUGAACUAAUGCUGUAUGUGGUGGUGGGGGUAAUGCCCCAUCACUAAAGCCGUAAGGUGCUUGGUGA
This 147-nucleotide ribosomal RNA is filed under the name uncultured bacterium. Its description in RNAcentral is "partial 16S rRNA". It matches the Rfam family "Bacterial small subunit ribosomal RNA", at positions 78 to 225 of the family's 1533-position model. The record is from RNAcentral.